GACGAACGCUGGCGGUGUGCUUAACACAUGCAAGUCGAACGGAAAGGCCCUGCUUUUGUGGGGUGCUCGAGUGGCGAACGGGUGAGUAACACGUGAGUAACCUGCCCUUGACUUUGGGAUAACUUCAGGAAACUGGGGCUAAUACCGGAUAGGAGCUCCUGCUGCAUGGUGGGGGUUGGAAAGUUUCGGCGGUUGGGGAUGGACUCGCGGCUUAUCAGCUUGUUGGUGGGGUAGUGGCUUACCAAGGCUUUGACGGGUAGCCGGCCUGAGAGGGUGACCGGCCACAUGGGGACUGAGAUACGGCCCAGACUGCUACGGGAGGCAGCAGUGGGGAAUAUUGCACAAUGGGCGGAAGCCUGAUGCAGCAACGCCGCGUGCGGGAUGACGGCCUUCGGGUUGUAAACCGCUUUCGCCUGUGACGAAGCGUGAGUGACGGUAAUGGGUAAAGAAGCACCGGCUAACUACGCG
This 468-nucleotide ribosomal RNA is filed under the name uncultured bacterium. Its description in RNAcentral is "partial 16S ribosomal RNA". It matches the Rfam family "Bacterial small subunit ribosomal RNA", at positions 28 to 507 of the family's 1533-position model. The record is from RNAcentral.